Durio zibethinus is the source of this 2413-nucleotide non-coding RNA. The record is from RefSeq and is a predicted model, not a curated record. NCBI's taxonomy places the organism in Eukaryota, Viridiplantae, Streptophyta, Magnoliopsida, Malvales, Malvaceae.
UAACCAAACCUAACAACGACCUUCCAACACAAACAUAAGCAAAACCAAAGAUGCUGCCGUACGCCGACAGUCACCCACACGGGUCCUACCCACGUGCCAAUUCCUUUCCUACUAUCCUUCAUUACUUAACGGAACCGUCUCUAUCCGUCACGGCCAUCAUGUUCCGUCAAUCCGCCCUCCCGCUCUCUCAUCGACGGCCCUCCAGCCUCCCCUAACGUCUUCCGUUCCGCUUUCCACCAACCCUAACCCUAACGUUCCCCUAUGGCCUCUUCCGUUGACGACGAUUUCUCUCUCCUCGACGACCACCAAACUAACCCUACCCACCACCACCCUACUUACGCGCAGAUUCACGCGCCUCCACCUGACAAUCACGACGCUGACGAUGACUCUGAUUCCGCUUUCCGCGACCCCGAUUUCGGCAGCAACAACAACAACAAUAACGCUACGUCUUCUGAUAUACGGAUCGAUAAGAGAAGAGAUCAAGAAGAGAUAAAUGACUGCGUUUUGAAGAAACCGAAGCAAUCGACGACGGAGUACCGAAAAGACAGAGAAGAAUGGAGCGACGCCGCAAUUGGGUGUUUAUUGCAGGCGUAUAUGGAGAAGUUGACGCAGCUGAACAGAGGCCAUCUGAGAGGAAGAGAUUGGGAGGAGGUAGCGGCGGCGGUUAGCGAGCGAUGCGAGAAGCAGAGUAAGAGUGUGGAGCAGUGCAAGAACAAGGUUGAUAAUUUGAAGAAAAGGUAUAAGCUUGAAAGGCAUAGGAUGAGUGAUGGCGGCAUCACGGCGAGUCAUUGGCCUUGGUUUAAGAAAAUGGAGGAGAUUGUUGGAAAUUCACUGCCGGGAAAGACUGUGGCUGAUGAAGAUAGGGGCGGCGCUUCUCCAGGAACUGCCGUUAGACAACCCAAAAGCAGAUAUGCUUUAGCUACAUCAAGCCCCGUAGGUCAGAUAAUUAGCAUGAAGUCCAAAAGUCCUAAAUGGCGUAGAGUGGUGUUCAAAAUUAGUGGCGCUGCUCUUGCUUGCACUGGUCCUCACAAUAUUGACCCAAAGGUAGCAAUGCUGAUUGCUAGGGAAGUUGCAAUUGCGUGCAACCUAGGUGUAGAGGUAGCAAUAGUUGUUGGAGGUCGCAAUUUCUUUUGCGGAGACACAUGGGUUGCAGCAACUGGUUUAGAUAGAAGUACUGCAUAUCAAAUUGGCAUGAUGGCGUCUGUGAUGAAUUCCAUACUACUGCAAUCAUCACUGGAGAAAAUGGGUGUUCAGACCCGUGUGCAAACUGCAUUUUCAGUGCAAGAGGUUGCAGAACCAUACAGUCGGCAACGAGCCAUACGUCAUCUUGAAAAGGGUAGAGUUGUAAUAUUUGGUGGCAUUGGCGCUGGCAUUGGAAAUCCACUCUUUUCUUCUGACACAGCUGCAGCGCUUCGAGCUUCAGAAAUUCAUGCAGCAGCAGUUCUUAAAGGUGUGAAUGUUGAUGGUGUUCAUGACUGCCACUCCCAAUAUAAUAAUGCUACAUUUGAGCACAUCUCCUUUAGAGAGUUCGUCUCUAGUGGUGCGACAGCCAUGGACAUGAUGGCAUUGACCUACUGUGAAGAGAAUGGCAUUCCUGUUGUGGUCUUUAAUCUUCUUCAGCCUGGAAACAUCUCGAAAGCAUUAUGUGGGGACCAAGUUGGUACGUUGAUUGAUCAAAAUGGAAGGACAAGCUGAUCUAGAAACCCUUAUCAGAUGCAUUUCUAGUUGUUGUGACUAUGGACAUAAGUCAGAUAUUGUUAAUAUACUCCAGUAACAACAAGUGUUCCUGUAAAUUCGGCUGCUGUGUUUCUACAACUGAGGCUUGGUUGGAUUCUUGACUUGAAGAUGCUGCUGCCGUAACACCAGGAGACCAGGAUGGUAUCAAUAAACCAACAGAAGGGAAUAAAACCAUUGAUGGAGCUUGUGUUCUUAUCAAGAAGUUCCAAAUGGUAGAAUUGAGUGCGCAUCAUGAAAGAUGGUGGAGAUUAAUUUUGCCUUCGGAUUAUAUAGGAGAAUUAGCUUGAAGCAAGAGGCAACAUCGGUGAGAAUCCAAUGCCCCCAAAACCCAAUGGUUCCUCUACAAGGUUCGUUGAUGAGGCUGAAAGGUAUAGUUGAACAACAGGUGACUUGACACUCCAGGGUAGUCAAGGACAACUGGUGAAUAUUUCUGUAAUACCUCUUCCUUCUUUGAAGAGCGUUGGGAUUUAAAAGUCAAUAGAUUGAUAGAUUCCUUUGCCAUAUUGAGGAGAAGAUGAUGAUAAUGAGUUUUUAAGCUUGAGCAAUGCAUAAAAUGCUGCAGUUUUGUUCCACUACCACGUAAUUCUUUUGUUGGUUGGCUGGUUUUGAGGAGGAGGAAAACUGUUGAUGGUAGAAAUCAUGGACAUUUUCAAUGAUUCUAGUAAGAAAUAAAUCC